UUGCUUCAGUGGCACAUAUAGUAAAAUUAGAGCAAUGCAGACAAUAUGAGCUUGCUCCCUGAACAAAGAUGGCAUGCUAAUUUGUGAAGCAUUCCAUAUUUUU
Zalophus californianus (California sea lion) is the source of this 103-nucleotide small nuclear RNA. The record is from Ensembl. NCBI's taxonomy places the organism in Eukaryota, Metazoa, Chordata, Mammalia, Carnivora, Otariidae.